RNAcentral lists this ribosomal RNA (497 nucleotides) under uncultured bacterium. RNAcentral describes it as "partial 16S ribosomal RNA". It matches the Rfam family "Bacterial small subunit ribosomal RNA", at positions 28 to 507 of the family's 1533-position model. The record is from RNAcentral.
GAUGAACGCUGGCGGCGUGCCUAAUACAUGCAAGUCGAGCGAACAGAUAAGGAGCUUGCUCCUUUGACGUUAGCGGCGGACGGGUGAGUAACACGUGGGUAACCUACCUAUAAGACUGGAAUAACUCCGGGAAACCGGGGCUAAUGCAGGAUAACAUGUUGAACCGCAUGGUUCUACAGUGAAAGGCGGCUUUGCUGUCACUUAUAGAUGGACCCGCGCCGUAUUAGCUAGUUGGUGAGGUAACGGCUCACCAAGGCAACGAUAUGUAGCCGACCUGAGAGGGUGAUCGGCCACACUGGAACUGAGACACGGUCCAGACUCCUACGGGAGGCAGCAGUAGGGAAUCUUCCGCAAUGGGCGAAAGCCUGACGGAGCAACGCCGCGUGAGUGAUGAAGGUCUUCGGAUCGUAAAACUCUGUUAUUAGGGAAGAACAAAUGCGUAAGUAACUGUGCGCGUCUUGACGGUACCUAAUCAGAAAGCCACGGCUAACUACGUG